RNAcentral lists this long non-coding RNA (558 nucleotides) under Homo sapiens (human). RNAcentral describes it as "HSALNT0013087". Lineage: Eukaryota; Metazoa; Chordata; Mammalia; Primates; Hominidae. The record is from RNAcentral.
AAUGUUGACCUCCUGCCACUUGAUUAUAUUCUCCUACUGAGGCCUAUUUUGUGAUAGAAUGGUUACAUUCUUGAAAGCAGGAACUAGCGGGAUAAAGGCUAACUCUUUUCCUGGUUCUGCCCCUUUGUAGCUGGGUGGACAUUGGCUAAUUCAUUUAACUUCACUGAAACUUAAUUUACUCAUUUUAAAAAUGGGGAUGAUAUCUGUUCCACUAAAUAUAGCUGUCCCUUGAUGUCCAUGGUGGAGCAGCUACAGGACUGCCUGCAGAUACCCCAGUCCACGGAUGCUCAAGUCCCUUAUGUAAAAUGGUGUAGACACAGAAGGCACUAUCCAUGAACCAGAAAGCGGGCCCUCACCAGACAUCGAAUCUGCCAGCACCUUGAUCUCGCACUUUCCAGCCUCCAGGACUUCGAGAAAUAAAUUUCUGUUGUUUAAAAGCUAUACAGUUUACGGUAUUUUGUUGUGAGCCGGAGUGUACUGAGAGGAUACCUUUCUGAUAUUCAUCAUAAGAUUUGGUUUCUGGUAGGCACUCUCCAAAUGCUAUAUAGUGCUUUAUUG